GCUCCAGUGGUGCAAUGGGUUAGCACACAGUACUUAUAAUGCUGAGGUUGUGAGUUUAAGCCUCAUCUGGAGCA
RNAcentral lists this transfer RNA (74 nucleotides) under Chrysemys picta bellii (western painted turtle). RNAcentral describes it as "tRNA-Ile (TAT) (tRNA-Ile-TAT-6-1)". It matches the Rfam family "tRNA". From Rfam's summary of the family: Transfer RNA (tRNA) molecules are approximately 80 nucleotides in length. Lineage: Eukaryota; Metazoa; Chordata; Testudines; Emydidae. The record is from RNAcentral.